This 251-nucleotide ribosomal RNA is filed under the name uncultured prokaryote. Its description in RNAcentral is "partial 16S rRNA". It matches the Rfam family "Bacterial small subunit ribosomal RNA", at positions 525 to 775 of the family's 1533-position model. The record is from RNAcentral.
ACGGAGGGAGCAAGCGUUGUCCGGAAUAACUGGGCGUAAAGGGCUCGUAGGCGGGGACUUAAGUCUGAGAGUAAAUUCACCGGCUUAACUGGUGAUUCAUCUUGGAUACUGGGUCUCUUGAGGACGGAAGAGGAAAGGGGAAUUCCUGGUGUAGCGGUGAAAUGCGUAGAUAUCAGGAGGAACACCUGUGGUGAAGGCGCCUUUCUGGUCCGGUCCUGACGCUGAGGAGCGAAAGCCAGGGGAGCGAACGG